CCUACGGGAGACAGCAGUGGGGAAUAUUGCACAAUGGGGGAAACCCUGAUGCAGCGACGCCGCGUGAAGGAUGAAGUAUUUCGGUAUGUAAACUUCUAUCAGCAGGGAAGAAAAUGACGGUACCUUACUAAGAAGCCCCGGCUAACUACGUGCCAGCAGCCGCGGUAAUACGUAGGGGGCAAGCGUUAUCCGGAUUUACUGGGUGUAAAGGGAGCGCAGGCGGCACGGCAAGCCUGAUGUGAAAGCCCGCGGCCCAACCGCGGGACUGCAUUGGGAACUACCGGGCUGGAGUGCCGGAGAGGUAGGCGGAAUGCCUAGUGUAGCGGUGAAAUGCGUAGAUAUUAGGAGGAACACCAGUGGCGAAGGCGGCCUACUGGACGGUGACUGACGCUGAGGCUCGAAAGCGUGGGGAGCAAACAGGAUUAGAUACCCCUGGUAGUC
This 441-nucleotide ribosomal RNA is filed under the name uncultured bacterium. RNAcentral's name for it is "partial 16S ribosomal RNA". It matches the Rfam family "Bacterial small subunit ribosomal RNA", at positions 338 to 795 of the family's 1533-position model. The record is from RNAcentral.